AAACUAUGUGCGAUGAAGGGUGGGGUGGGAAAAAGCACUCUCUUAUUAAAAUAUUUGUUAUGUAACUUCAACCAAUACACGUCACCUACUGAGUAAAGGAUAUUGUUCAUUCUGAGCAAUUACUCAAAUUGUUUCACAGUGUGUUCUAUUUAUUUGUAUGAGCAUGGUUAAUAUGCAAACUGGAUCAUCCCUUGGAAACCUGAAAGUGAAUUUUGUGAUAAUACAAGGAAUCCUAGGGUAAUCAUACCAGAUGUCUUCUGCAUGCCUUAAUUUACAAAUGCCAACAAUAAAAAGGAGGAAGAAGGAGCCAGGAAGAUUGGAUGCAGUAGCCACCAAGAUAUACUGCCCUAUUCACAAGU
RNAcentral lists this long non-coding RNA (359 nucleotides) under Homo sapiens (human). Its description in RNAcentral is "HSALNT0093454". Lineage: Eukaryota; Metazoa; Chordata; Mammalia; Primates; Hominidae. The record is from RNAcentral.